This 481-nucleotide long non-coding RNA is filed under the name Trifolium pratense (red clover). RNAcentral describes it as "long non-coding RNA (TPRA_LNC009506)". The record is from RNAcentral. Lineage: Eukaryota; Viridiplantae; Streptophyta; Magnoliopsida; Fabales; Fabaceae.
CAACAAACUCAGGGUGACUAAAGAAGAAGUUCAGACAGAGAUAUAUAUUCCCAUCAGAGUAUCAAAAUUCCCAAGUUACAAUUGAAGGUCAUUCAGUAAAGGCAAAAGAUCAUUCUUACAAGUCACAAUGUAAAUGCAAACCACAUAAGUAUAAAAAUAGGAAGAGAGUAAAUCUUAAAAAAAUAAAAUUAAUAAAGCAAACUUCAUAUUAUAAAAUGGUCUCUUAAUUUGCAUGUACUUGAUGACAAAUAGGAAAUGUGCAACUGACAAGCCACUUGACAUGCAAGGGAAAAUCCUAAGAAUCUCAGUAAUAGACCUCUUGGGUGAAAACAAACAAAGAAGAAAUUAAUUAUUUAUUCCUCUAAUAGAAACAAUGCUUUCCUUAUAAAUUACUAUCUGACUCAGAUCUUCCUCGACACCAAGCUCCUUAAUCGUCCGGGUAACCAAAUUAAAACAAGCUAGUUCUCCAUCAUUUUUUCUG